This 510-nucleotide long non-coding RNA is filed under the name Numida meleagris (helmeted guineafowl). Its description in RNAcentral is "lncRNA (ENSNMEG00000009201.1)". The record is from RNAcentral. Lineage: Eukaryota; Metazoa; Chordata; Aves; Galliformes; Numididae.
AUGGGAACACCCUUCUGUGAUCUCGGGUUGCCUCACCUCCUCCCUGGUGCUGCUGGAUGCUGCCACUCAGAGCUGGGUGCGUGGCUGAUUUUUGAGUUUUCUUGCAGGAAGGGAUGCUCCGUGCCUCCUGGGAACCCCCCCCCGAAAGGCUCCCUGGGACGUGGAAGUGCUUCAGGUCAACCCCAGUGUAUUCACCUGGCAUCCCUUGGGAAGCUCUUAGUGAGCCGCGCAGACACCAGCACGUCCGUAACCACCCAUAGGAUCUCCUAUUGCUGGAGGAAGAGCUGUAAUUUCGGCUGGCUGCGGAAAGAAGCACUGAAGACACGAGGAAAUAUUACUUGCAUGCAGGCUGAUCACGCUGAACCGUUUCCAAACAUCGAAGCGAAACACUGCAGCUCUUACAGCCGGGCUGUGCUGCCAGCCUGAGCCCUGGUGAGUGAUUCCCCCUUCACGUGGGAGAUGGAGCUCAGCCCUCACUGCGAUGGGCUCCCAGCUCUGCAGGGCUUGGUG